This 561-nucleotide long non-coding RNA is filed under the name Homo sapiens (human). RNAcentral describes it as "non-protein coding YEATS2-AS1:5". Lineage: Eukaryota; Metazoa; Chordata; Mammalia; Primates; Hominidae. The record is from RNAcentral.
AUAAUGAUAAAGGCCAUGAUUCUGAGAAAUUAUGAAUUGGAGUGAUUUUCAUUAAUCAGACAUUAUUCUAUUUAUUUAUUUAUUUUGAGAUGGAGUCUCACUCUCGCGCCCAGGCUGGAGCGCAGUGGCGCGAUCUUGGCUCAGUGCAACCUCCGCCUCCCGGGUUCAAGCGAUUCUCCUGCCUCAGCCUCCCAAGUAGCUGGGAUUACCAGGCACCCACCUUCAGGAUCAUGUCCUCCACCACGGACGCAUACACGUUCCUGUGGAGUGCCACGGGCUGCAGGGUGAUCCCAAUCUGGAAAAGCAGAAGAAAGCCGUUUGUUCGUAUCGCUGCUUUAGAAACAGCCUCUCUCCAAACAAGCAUACCUCCCUGACAUGCAAAGCGAUGCCUGGUUGGAAGGAGGACUCUGCAAACAUAUUGGGCAAAAUUCACGGGAAAGGAACACGGAAUAUAACAUCUAGAAGAAUGUUAUCUUGUUUUUCCACAUUUCUGGCUGAUAUUUAAAAUAUGACUAUAAUCCUAUUAAAAUCUCUCAAAUCUCCUUCGUGGGAGAACAUGGU